GAUGAACGCUGGCGGCGUGCUUAACACAUGCAAGUCGAACGGAAAGGCCCAAGCUUGCUUGGGUACUCGAGUGGCGAACGGGUGAGUAACACGUGGGUGAUCUGCCCUGCACUUCGGGAUAAGCCUGGGAAACUGGGUCUAAUACCGGAUAGGACCACAUUUUGGAUGGUGUGGUGGAAAGUUUUUCGGUGGGGGAUGAGCUCGCGGCCUAUCAGCUUGUUGGUGGGGUAAUGGCCUACCAAGGCGUCGACGGGUAGCCGGCCUGAGAGGGUGUACGGCCACAUUGGGACUGAGAUACGGCCCAGACUCCUACGGGAGGCAGCAGUGGGGAAUAUUGCACAAUGGGCGCAAGCCUGAUGCAGCGACGCCGCGUGGGGGAUGACGGCCUUCGGGUUGUAAACUCCUUUCGCUAGGGACGAAGCGUUUUUGUGACGGUACCUGGAGAAGAAGCACCGGCUAACUACGUG
This 467-nucleotide ribosomal RNA is filed under the name uncultured bacterium. RNAcentral describes it as "partial 16S ribosomal RNA". It matches the Rfam family "Bacterial small subunit ribosomal RNA", at positions 28 to 507 of the family's 1533-position model. The record is from RNAcentral.